CAAUUUGUGGAGAUGGCUUAGUGGAUAAGAGCAUUUACUAUUCAGGCAUGAGGACAUGAGUUUAAAUGCCCAGAACUCACAUAAAAAACUCAGCAUGGUUGGUAUGUACUUAUAAUUCCAGCACCAUGGGAAACAGAGACAAGAAGAUGGUUGCAGGCCCAUGCACCACCAGCCUAAGUAGAUUCCAUUAAAGACCCAUCUCAAGAGAACAAGGCGGGGAGUGACAGAGCUGGACGUGGCCUCCACAUGCUUGUACAGAACCAGCAAAGGAUGUAAAAGACUGCGAGCUUUUCCCAGGCUAUCCUGCUGGAGGUUGUACACGGCUAGGAGAGCAACUUUCUAGUAAGAAACGUCUCCUCACUGUUGAUUCCACGAGGGAUCCUUUGGACAAAUCACGGAUUGGUGCAAACUUCAAUUUCUGUCCUUCAGGUCAAGUGGAACUCAGAGGGAGAAGUUGACUGUGAGAAACUUGAACUGACUGGAGAGCAAUCAAUGAACAGUGCCUUCAAAGAGGGAAGGAAACAUACAUUCCCAUACAUCUUUUUCCUACAUGACAUUUUAUGCUGUGGCUUUCUGUUGGCUGAAUGGAACCAGAGCUGGAGGAAGGCAAGUGCACUGUACAUCAACUUUUGAAUGGACAAAUCAGGACAAAAAAAGAGGGGUCAUGUGUUUUAAAAAGGUGUAAGAAUGCAUUCUUUAUCUCAUUUCUGCUCAGUGAGCCCUAGAUAUUACACUGUAAGGUAAGAUUUAUAGUUGCAACCGUAGAACGAACUAUGGCUGUUUAAGUGUGAAGGAUUGUUGAUGUUCUUAUGGGACCAGUUGUGUAACAUUUUUCACUGAGAUAGAACAUUCCAUCUAGGAGAAAAUAGCUAAGCCUCCAGAUGUUCUAGAGGGAGACACCUUAAAACUCAGGAAGUGAAGAACUCAGAAGCUUCAGGUGGUUCCUGAAACUGACCAGACAUAUUAGGCUUCUCUACUGAGAAAUACUCUCAAACAAACUGAGCUGCCUAGAGAGGCAAAGGCCAGCCAAGCUGCCUAGAAGAAGCAAACCAGCUGAAACUGUUCAAAGAUAGACAAACCAAGUUGUCUGGAAGACAAACACCAGCAGAACUUGCUGGAAAAAGAAGAGAGCCAUUGAGUUACUUGUAAAAGAUUUGGACAAACUGGGCUCCUAGGAAGGGAUGCUCCCUGACCUGUUGAACUUCUUGAAGUUGAUAAGCUUCAUGGUUCCAGCUUUUGUGAUUGGUCGUCCUUGCUGGCAUGGGUUUUGGUGAUGCAGCAGUUUUUGAUUCCUAUCUAUUCUUAUUUUUUUUCCUUUGUUUAUUUUCUGAUCACUUUACAUCCUGGUUGUAGCACCAUUCCUCCUCCCCUCCCAGCCGUCCCCUCUUCCCCUCUUCCCCUCUCACUUAUUCCUUAGAAAGGGGGAGCUCUGUAGGCUUAGGUUUUUUUCACUAAACCUACUUUAUUUCGGAUUCUUAAGCACUUCCAUCCCCCUUCCCCAACCUUAUGUAGGAGAUUAGUAGCGGAAAGGGCUGUAGACUUCUUUUAUCCACUUCCUGCUGAUUAGGGUCCAUGGGUCUUUAGAGGAUUACUAAACUCAGUCAUCAGGAUACCAGUAGUCCAGUCCAAAGGCCAAUACCAAGUGGCAGCACGAAUCAGCACAAGUCAGUGAAAGCUGCAAGACUCAGCUGGAUUCGUUUCUCUCUGAGAAGCCAAGUGUUGAAACAUGAAGAUCAAUGCAUCAAGGUUAAAAGAAAAAGUGAAGCCUCAUUGUGGUGCAUGGGCCUCAAUAUAUCUCCUUUCCUCAGAGUCCACCCAUGGAUGUUCUCAGCUGGCCACAGUCAUGCCCCUUGCACGAGAGAGUUCACAGCAAAACAUCAUGUUCCCAGCUUGCAGCAAAACAUCACAUGGCAAAACUGAGUCUUCAAAGAAACCAGAAACUUCCACUUCAGAACUCCCUUUCCUCUUCAACCCAUCAAGUUGCAUCAGGACUGAACAUGUCCUCUUCCCUCGUGGCCUGGCAAGGCAGUCCCACCAGGGAGAAGUGAUCAAAAGCUAUCAAGUGAGUCCGUGUUAGAUUCAGUCCACGCAUCCCUUACUAAAUGAUCCACAUGAAGCCUAAGCUGCCCAUCUGCUACAUCUUUGUAGGGGGCUUAGGUCCAAUUCAUGCAUGGUCCUUUAUUGAUGCUUCAGUUUCUGCAAGCCCCUCUAGACUUUGGUUAGUUGGCCUUGUUGAGCUUCUUGUGGAGGUCCUGUCACCUCCAGGUUUUUUCUCUUUCCUCCCACCUUUCCACAAGAGUUCCGACUCAUCACCCAAUGUUUGGCUGUCUGAGCAUCUGUUUUGAGGUGCUCCUGGGUAGAGUCUCUCAGAGGACGACUCUAUCAGGCUUUUGCCUGCAAGCUUAUUAGAGUAUCGUUCAUAGUGUCAGGGGUUUGUACUCACCCAUAGGGUGAUUCUUUAGUUGGACCAAGCAUUGGUUGGAUAGUCUCUCAAUCUGCUCUAUCUGCUCUAUCUUUAUGCCUGCACAUCCUGUAAACAGAGUUAUCUGGGUUUAUCUGAAGUUAUUGUGGGUGAGUUGGUGUUCCCCUCCCUCUGCCAGGAGACUACUCUAGUCUUGUAACUCCCAACUCAUGUUCUUGUAAGUAAUGUCAAUGAAACUCUGAUUAACCAUGUUAUCCUUACUUGAGCCUAUUGUUGGUUUCUUAUGUGAGGUGAGUAGACAUUGUUCACAUCUCCCCAGGAACACUGUCACACAAUACUAAGGUAUCCACAGGCGUGAAGAGAGGAUAUAGAGGUGCAGGGUUCCUCUGUUAUUACAAUGCAAAUAUGAUGCUCCCUCAACUCCACGCAACUACAGAGAUUACUUUCCCACUUCUUUCUCUACGAAUCUCUCUCCGUGUUUUACUGCCUGUUGAUUCAAAACCAUGGCCUGUCCUGUGCCUGUGUCGGGCAGAAUCAAGGACUCCAUUGAGCAUUGCUGUAAAGGGAAGAGGCAGUGAGAACCUGGUUUCAUGAGCUCUCCAUGCAGGAGCAGUGCCUCCUAGAAGAAUUUUAGGUGAGAAACUCUCCACAUUUUAGAAAUGUAUCCCAAUGGUAGGUGGA
Long non-coding RNA from Meriones unguiculatus (Mongolian gerbil), 3103 nucleotides. RefSeq lists it as uncharacterized. The transcript is spliced from 3 exons. The record is from RefSeq and is a predicted model, not a curated record. Lineage: Eukaryota; Metazoa; Chordata; Mammalia; Rodentia; Muridae.